Molecule: ribosomal RNA, 2774 nt
Filed under: Escherichia coli
Lineage: Bacteria; Pseudomonadati; Pseudomonadota; Gammaproteobacteria; Enterobacterales; Enterobacteriaceae
Description: bacterial LSU rRNA
Rfam family: Bacterial large subunit ribosomal RNA
Source: RNAcentral
AGCGUACACGGUGGAUGCCCUGGCAGUCAGAGGCGAUGAAGGACGUGCUAAUCUGCGAUAAGCGUCGGUAAGGUGAUAUGAACCGUUAUAACCGGCGAUUUCCGAAUGGGGAAACCCAGUGUGAUUCGUCACACUAUCAUUAACUGAAUCCAUAGGUUAAUGAGGCGAACCGGGGGAACUGAAACAUCUAAGUACCCCGAGGAAAAGAAAUCAACCGAGAUUCCCCCAGUAGCGGCGAGCGAACGGGGAGCAGCCCAGAGCCUGAAUCAGUGUGUGUGUUAGUGGAAGCGUCUGGAAAGGCGCGCGAUACAGGGUGACAGCCCCGUACACAAAAAUGCACAUGCUGUGAGCUCGAUGAGUAGGGCGGGACACGUGGUAUCCUGUCUGAAUAUGGGGGGACCAUCCUCCAAGGCUAAAUACUCCUGACUGACCGAUAGUGAACCAGUACCGUGAGGGAAAGGCGAAAAGAACCCCGGCGAGGGGAGUGAAAAAGAACCUGAAACCGUGUACGUACAAGCAGUGGGAGCACGCUUCGGCGUGUGACUGCGUACCUUUUGUAUAAUGGGUCAGCGACUUAUAUUCUGUAGCAAGGUUAACCGAAUAGGGGAGCCGAAGGGAAACCGAGUCUUAACUGGGCGUUAAGUUGCAGGGUAUAGACCCGAAACCCGGUGAUCUAGCCAUGGGCAGGUUGAAGGUUGGGUAACACUAACUGGAGGACCGAACCGACUAAUGUUGAAAAAUUAGCGGAUGACUUGUGGCUGGGGGUGAAAGGCCAAUCAAACCGGGAGAUAGCUGGUUCUCCCCGAAAGCUAUUUAGGUAGCGCCUCGUGAAUUCAUCUCCGGGGGUAGAGCACUGUUUCGGCAAGGGGGUCAUCCCGACUUACCAACCCGAUGCAAACUGCGAAUACCGGAGAAUGUUAUCACGGGAGACACACGGCGGGUGCUAACGUCCGUCGUGAAGAGGGAAACAACCCAGACCGCCAGCUAAGGUCCCAAAGUCAUGGUUAAGUGGGAAACGAUGUGGGAAGGCCCAGACAGCCAGGAUGUUGGCUUAGAAGCAGCCAUCAUUUAAAGAAAGCGUAAUAGCUCACUGGUCGAGUCGGCCUGCGCGGAAGAUGUAACGGGGCUAAACCAUGCACCGAAGCUGCGGCAGCGACACUAUGUGUUGUUGGGUAGGGGAGCGUUCUGUAAGCCUGUGAAGGUGUGCUGUGAGGCAUGCUGGAGGUAUCAGAAGUGCGAAUGCUGACAUAAGUAACGAUAAAGCGGGUGAAAAGCCCGCUCGCCGGAAGACCAAGGGUUCCUGUCCAACGUUAAUCGGGGCAGGGUGAGUCGACCCCUAAGGCGAGGCCGAAAGGCGUAGUCGAUGGGAAACAGGUUAAUAUUCCUGUACUUGGUGUUACUGCGAAGGGGGGACGGAGAAGGCUAUGUUGGCCGGGCGACGGUUGUCCCGGUUUAAGCGUGUAGGCUGGUUUUCCAGGCAAAUCCGGAAAAUCAAGGCUGAGGCGUGAUGACGAGGCACUACGGUGCUGAAGCAACAAAUGCCCUGCUUCCAGGAAAAGCCUCUAAGCAUCAGGUAACAUCAAAUCGUACCCCAAACCGACACAGGUGGUCAGGUAGAGAAUACCAAGGCGCUUGAGAGAACUCGGGUGAAGGAACUAGGCAAAAUGGUGCCGUAACUUCGGGAGAAGGCACGCUGAUAUGUAGGUGAAGCGACUUGCUCGUGGAGCUGAAAUCAGUCGAAGAUACCAGCUGGCUGCAACUGUUUAUUAAAAACACAGCACUGUGCAAACACGAAAGUGGACGUAUACGGUGUGACGCCUGCCCGGUGCCGGAAGGUUAAUUGAUGGGGUUAGCGGUAACGCGAAGCUCUUGAUCGAAGCCCCGGUAAACGGCGGCCGUAACUAUAACGGUCCUAAGGUAGCGAAAUUCCUUGUCGGGUAAGUUCCGACCUGCACGAAUGGCGUAAUGAUGGCCAGGCUGUCUCCACCCGAGACUCAGUGAAAUUGAACUCGCUGUGAAGAUGCAGUGUACCCGCGGCAAGACGGAAAGACCCCGUGAACCUUUACUAUAGCUUGACACUGAACAUUGAGCCUUGAUGUGUAGGAUAGGUGGGAGGCUUUGAAGUGUGGACGCCAGUCUGCAUGGAGCCGACCUUGAAAUACCACCCUUUAAUGUUUGAUGUUCUAACGUUGACCCGUUAUCCGGGUUGCGGACAGUGUCUGGUGGGUAGUUUGACUGGGGCGGUCUCCUCCUAAAGAGUAACGGAGGAGCACGAAGGUUGGCUAAUCCUGGUCGGACAUCAGGAGGUUAGUGCAAUGGCAUAAGCCAGCUUGACUGCGAGCGUGACGGCGCGAGCAGGUGCGAAAGCAGGUCAUAGUGAUCCGGUGGUUCUGAAUGGAAGGGCCAUCGCUCAACGGAUAAAAGGUACUCCGGGGAUAACAGGCUGAUACCGCCCAAGAGUUCAUAUCGACGGCGGUGUUUGGCACCUCGAUGUCGGCUCAUCACAUCCUGGGGCUGAAGUAGGUCCCAAGGGUAUGGCUGUUCGCCAUUUAAAGUGGUACGCGAGCUGGGUUUAGAACGUCGUGAGACAGUUCGGUCCCUAUCUGCCGUGGGCGCUGGAGAACUGAGGGGGGCUGCUCCUAGUACGAGAGGACCGGAGUGGACGCAUCACUGGUGUUCGGGUUGUCAUGCCAAUGGCACUGCCCGGUAGCUAAAUGCGGAAGAGAUAAGUGCUGAAAGCAUCUAAGCACGAAACUUGCCCCGAGAUGAGUUCU